RNAcentral lists this ribosomal RNA (697 nucleotides) under uncultured bacterium. RNAcentral describes it as "bacterial SSU rRNA". It matches the Rfam family "Bacterial small subunit ribosomal RNA", at positions 56 to 748 of the family's 1533-position model. The record is from RNAcentral.
UGCAAGUCGAGCGGUAGAGAGGUGCUUGCACCUCUUGAGAGCGGCGGACGGGUGAGUAAAGCCUAGGAAUCUGCCUGGUAGUGGGGGAUAACGCUCGGAAACGGACGCUAAUACCGCAUACGUCCUACGGGAGAAAGCAGGGGACCUUCGGGCCUUGCGCUAUCAGAUGAGCCUAGGUCGGAUUAGCUAGUUGGUGAGGUAAUGGCUCACCAAGGCGACGAUCCGUAACUGGUCUGAGAGGAUGAUCAGUCACACUGGAACUGAGACACGGUCCAGACUCCUACGGGAGGCAGCAGUGGGGAAUAUUGGACAAUGGGCGAAAGCCUGAUCCAGCCAUGCCGCGUGUGUGAAGAAGGUCUUCGGAUUGUAAAGCACUUUAAGUUGGGAGGAAGGGCAUUAACCUAAUACGUUAGUGUUUUGACGUUACCGACAGAAUAAGCACCGGCUAACUCUGUGCCAGCAGCCGCGGUAAUACAGAGGGUGCAAGCGUUAAUCGGAAUUACUGGGCGUAAAGCGCGCGUAGGUGGUUCGUUAAGUUGGAUGUGAAAUCCCCGGGCUCAACCUGGGAACUGCAUUCAAAACUGUCGAGCUAGAGUAUGGUAGAGGGUGGUGGAAUUUCCUGUGUAGCGGUGAAAUGCGUAGAUAUAGGAAGGAACACCAGUGGCGAAAGCGACCACCUGGACUGAUACUGACACUG